This is a long non-coding RNA of Gallus gallus (chicken), 599 nucleotides long. NCBI's taxonomy places the organism in Eukaryota, Metazoa, Chordata, Aves, Galliformes, Phasianidae. The record is from Ensembl.
GAACAAGAGUCCUGCAAAGCAACUCCACAAGUUCAAUUACAUACCCUGCUCAUGAGAUGGGAUCCAGAGUAAAAUCCAGUGUGUUCCACUAAGUUUGCAUCAGGAGCAGCAGGAACACAAGGCGGGCAACACAGUAAACAACAACCACUUCAUUUGUAUCUAAUAAAGUAAACAAUCAUCAGUGUGAACAUGCAUGGAACCAGAUUUGGAAGAUCUUUUGCACAGAAUAGCAUGUAUGUCCAAAGCACCACAAGAGACACUUUCAUGAGAUGGAAGUGCAAAAUGCUUGAACCUUACACCACUUAUCACACUGGGCACAUCUCUGGCCCCAGCUGGGACCCCUCAGGAGAGCUGCAAUGCCAGCAGAGCAGCCAAGAUGCAAUGGAAGGGAAACAAAGAGACAUGGCACACACUGAGCUAGUGAUGAAUGACGCCCACAGGAUCCUCCUUGCCAUCCAUCGGCAGGAUUACAGCCACAUGCGCACCCAACACCAGGCAGCUGUUCAGAAGGGGAGAGAGAAUGCUGGUGUUCAACCGAUGGACGGAAGACAUAAAACUGAUGAACUGUCAGAAGCCAGUCAUAAUUUUUUUGGAUUAGC